Molecule: ribosomal RNA, 1101 nt
Filed under: Perlucidibaca sp.
Lineage: Bacteria; Pseudomonadati; Pseudomonadota; Gammaproteobacteria; Pseudomonadales; Perlucidibacaceae
Description: bacterial SSU rRNA
Rfam family: Bacterial small subunit ribosomal RNA
Source: RNAcentral
AGCGAGCUUACCAUGCAAGUCGAGCGGGGACUUCGGUCCUAGCGGCGAACGGGUGAGGAAUGCUUGGGAAUCUGCCCAGUAGUGGGGGAUAACGUUUCGAAAGGAACGCUAAUACCGCAUACGUCCUACGGGAGAAAGGGGGGGAUCUUCGGACCUCUCGCUAUUGGAUGAGCCCAAGUCGGAUUAGCUAGUUGGUGGGGUAAAGGCCUACCAAGGCGACGAUCCGUAGCUGGUCUGAGAGGAUGAUCAGCCACACUGGAACUGAGACACGGUCCAGACUCCUACGGGAGGCAGCAGUGGGGAAUAUUGGACAAUGGGCGAAAGCCUGAUCCAGCCAUGCCGCGUGUGUGAAGAAGGCCUUCGGGUUGUAAAGCACUUUAAGUGGGGAGGAAUGGCUCUUGGUUAAUAACCUUGAGCAGUGACGUUACCCACAGAAUAAGCACCGGCUAACUCUGUGCCAGCAGCCGCGGUAAUACAGAGGGUGCAAGCGUUAAUCGGAAUUACUGGGCGUAAAGCGCGCGUAGGCGGUUGUAUAAGUUGGAGGUGAAAUCCCCGGGCUCAACCUGGGAAUUGCCUUCAAAACUGUACGGCUAGAGUGUGGGAGAGGAAGGUAGAAUUCCAGGUGUAGCGGUGAAAUGCGUAGAUAUCUGGAGGAAUACCGAUGGCGAAGGCAGCCUUCUGGCCUAACACUGACGCUGAGGUGCGAAAGCAUGGGGAGCAAACAGGAUUAGAUACCCUGGUAGUCCAUGCCGUAAACGAUGUCUACUAGCCGUUGGGGGACUUGAUCCUUUAGUGGCGCAGCUAACGCAUUAAGUAGACCGCCUGGGGAGUACGGUCGCAAGACUAAAACUCAAAUGAAUUGACGGGGGCCCGCACAAGCGGUGGAGCAUGUGGUUUAAUUCGAUGCAACGCGAAGAACCUUACCUGGCCUUGACAUGUCCGGGAACCCUGCAGAGACGCGGGGGUGCCUUCGGGAAUCGGAACACAGGUGCUGCAUGGCUGUCGUCAGCUCGUGUCGUGAGAUGUUGGGUUAAGUCCCGCACGAGCGCACCCUUGUCCUAGUGCAGCACGUAAUGGUGGGAACUCUAGGAGACUGCCGUG